ACGGAUCCUUCGGGAUUAGUGGCAGACGGGUGAGUAACGCGUGGGAAGCUACCUUGUGGUAGGGGACAACAGUUGGAAACGACUGCUAAUACCCUAUGAGCCCUAUGGGGGAAAGAUUUAUCGCCAUGAGAUGUGCCCGCGUUAGAUUAGCUAGUUGGUAAGGUAAUGGCUUACCAAGGCGACGAUCUAUAGCUGGUCUGAGAGGAUGAUCAGCCACACUGGGACUGAGACACGGCCCAGACUCCUACGGGAGGCAGCAGUGGGGAAUAUUGGACAAUGGGGGCAACCCUGAUCCAGCCAUGCCGCGUGUGUGAUGACGGCCUUAGGGUUGUAAAGCACUUUCAGCAGUGAAGAUAAUGACAUUAACUGCAGAAGAAGCCCCGGCUAACUUCGUGCCAGCAGCCGCGGUAAUACGAAGGGGGCUAGCGUUGUUCGGAAUCACUGGGCGUAAAGAGUACGUAGGCGGACUGAUAAGUUAGGGGUGAAAUCCCAAGGCUCAACCUUGGAACUGCCUUUGAUACUGUCAGUCUUGAGAUCGAGAGAGGUGAGUGGAACUCCGAGUGUAGAGGUGAAAUUCGUAGAUAUUCGGAAGAACACCAGUGGCGAAGGCGGCUCACUGGCUCGAUACUGACGCUGAGGUACGAAAGCGUGGGGGAGCAAACAGGAUUAGAUACCCUGGUAGUCCACGCCGUAACGAUGAAUGCUAGUUGUCAGGUAGCUUGCUAUUU
This 728-nucleotide ribosomal RNA is filed under the name Pseudovibrio sp. Pv225. Its description in RNAcentral is "bacterial SSU rRNA". It matches the Rfam family "Bacterial small subunit ribosomal RNA", at positions 66 to 841 of the family's 1533-position model. The record is from RNAcentral. Lineage: Bacteria; Pseudomonadati; Pseudomonadota; Alphaproteobacteria; Hyphomicrobiales; Stappiaceae.